Molecule: ribosomal RNA, 386 nt
Filed under: Nocardia farcinica
Lineage: Bacteria; Bacillati; Actinomycetota; Actinomycetes; Mycobacteriales; Nocardiaceae
Description: bacterial SSU rRNA
Rfam family: Bacterial small subunit ribosomal RNA
Source: RNAcentral
GAGUAACACGUGGUUGAUCUGCCCUGUACUUCGGGAUAAGCCUGGGAAACUGGGUCUAAUACCGGAUAUGACCUUACAUCGCAUGGUGUUUGGUGGAAAGAUUUAUCGGUACAGGAUGGGCCCGCGGCCUAUCAGCUUGUUGGUGGGGUAAUGGCCUACCAAGGCGACGACGGGUAGCCGGCCUGAGAGGGCGACCGGCCACACUGGGACUGAGACACGGCCCAGACUCCUACGGGAGGCAGCAGUGGGGAAUAUUGCACAAUGGGCGAAAGCCUGAUGCAGCGACGCCGCGUGAGGGAUGACGGCCUUCGGGUUGUAAACCUCUUUCGACAGGGACGAAGCGCAAGUGACGGUACCUGUAGAAGAAGCACCGGCCAACUACGUGC